This 253-nucleotide ribosomal RNA is filed under the name uncultured bacterium. RNAcentral describes it as "partial 16S ribosomal RNA". It matches the Rfam family "Bacterial small subunit ribosomal RNA", at positions 524 to 776 of the family's 1533-position model. The record is from RNAcentral.
UACAGAGGUCUCAAGCGUUGUUCGGAAUCACUGGGCGUAAAGGGCGCGUAGGCGGCCGAUCAAGUCGGGGGUGAAAGCCUGUGGCUCAACCACAGAAUUGCCUUCGAUACUGUUUGGCUUGAGACCGGAAGAGGUAAGUGGAACUGCGAGUGUAGAGGUGAAAUUCGUAGAUAUUCGCAAGAACACCAGUGGCGAAGGCGGCUUACUGGUCCGGUUCUGACGCUGAGGCGCGAAAGCGUGGGGAGCAAACAGG